Chaetoceros tenuissimus is the source of this 73-nucleotide non-coding RNA. Lineage: Eukaryota; Bacillariophyta; Thalassiosirophyceae; Chaetocerotales; Chaetocerotaceae. The record is from the annotation of a GenBank genome assembly.
AAGUAAUUAGCUCAAUUGGUAGAGCGUCUCGCUUACAACGAGGAUGUUGGUGGUUCGAGUCCAUUAUUACUUA